AGCAGCGCCGUCGUUGUCUGUGGGUGCAACCAAACCUGGAGUCUACGUUUGGAGCACGCUAGUUUCCUGUAUUCCUUGAGUUUCUUAUGGAUCCCCAGUUGCUGCCUACUUCUGAAGCACAGGUUAUUAGAGAGGCUGAAAACCAGACUGGAACAGGCUCUUCAAAGGCAGCCUCUGGACCUGGACUAUUUAGAGUUCCUCUGUACCAGUGAGUUGAGCCUAGUUCACUGAGUACUCACAUGCCAUUUCCAGAAGAGGUAAGCAAAGUCUGUUUGUUUUUUGUGCAAAAUAAGUACAAACAUUACCCCUGUUUUCAGAAUACUUUCAG
Alosa alosa (allis shad) is the source of this 328-nucleotide long non-coding RNA. RefSeq lists it as uncharacterized. Lineage: Eukaryota; Metazoa; Chordata; Actinopteri; Clupeiformes; Clupeidae. The transcript has 3 exons. The record is from RefSeq and is a predicted model, not a curated record.